Long non-coding RNA from Chiloscyllium plagiosum (whitespotted bambooshark), 969 nucleotides. RefSeq lists it as uncharacterized. The record is from RefSeq and is a predicted model, not a curated record. Lineage: Eukaryota; Metazoa; Chordata; Chondrichthyes; Orectolobiformes; Hemiscylliidae.
GGACACAGAGGGGGCUCCGAGACCGGGAUUGAUUCGGGAAAAAUACCUGAGGGACUAAGACACUGUAAUACUUCCUCAGUUCAAGGCAAAGAGUGACCAGCUGCCUCUAACAAACAGAGGGGUUGUGAUUCAAAUUCAAAGAAGACAGAAGAUCUGACGAGUUAGAAUUGACAGUGGGGCAGUCGUGGUGUGUAGGAACACCAAGAUGUGGCUAUCUCUGCCAAAGUGGAAAGUGGAUGCAAUUCUGAAAUGUCCUUGAACCAAUCGACUUGCUCAGCCAGGAGGAGGUGAGGAAUUUGGAAAGGAUUAGGAGCCAUGUGCAGAGCAGACUGGAUGAGGAGGACAGAUUUCAUUUCCUGAAGGACCAUCACAGACAGGAACAGGAGAAGGCUAUUUGGCCUCUCAAGCCAUUCAAUAGCAUCGUGGCUGAUGCACCAUUCCUCACACUCAUUUUCCUGCACUUAACAUGUAACCCUCAAUUCCCCAACUGAUCAAGAAUCUAUAUACCCCAGCUAUAAACCUGCUCCCUGUCCCCACACACAGCUCUCUGUGGCAAGGAGUUCCAAACACUCAACCUUCUGAGAGAAGAAAUUCCUCCUCACCUCAGUCUUCAAUUUUGAACCAGAUGGUUGGUUGUUCCUGACAACAGUCAUCAUUAGAGUCUUAACUCCAGAUCUAUUUUUGUUUCAAAUCGAAUUCCAAAUCGACCACCUGCCACAGCAAGAUUCAAAUUCACAUCACCAGGACAUACCCUGGGGAGGUGUAAACAUAGGAUUCUGCUUCCCCAUUAUUUCAGAAACUGAAAAUGAAUCCCAUCAAAAUUAAUUUCAGAAUAAAUUUCACCACAUCUUUGUGCUAAACACUGAUGUCGCCAUAAUCCACACAGUGUGGACAGAGACUAUUCAGCCCAUCCAGUCUCCCCAAGCCAGUGAAGAGCAUCCCAUCAAACCCUGACCCUAUCCCCGUAAC